RNAcentral lists this ribosomal RNA (504 nucleotides) under uncultured bacterium. Its description in RNAcentral is "partial 16S ribosomal RNA". It matches the Rfam family "Bacterial small subunit ribosomal RNA", at positions 29 to 523 of the family's 1533-position model. The record is from RNAcentral.
AACGAACGCCGGCGGCGCGUCUUAAGCAUGCAAGUCGGACGGCAAGGGUAGCAAUACCCCUAGAGUGGCGGACUGGUGAGUAACGCGUGGGUGACCUACCCUCGAGAUGGGGAUAGCCAUUAGAAAUAGUGGAUAAUACCGAAUACGCUCUGGAUGCUCUGGCGACCAGAGGAAAUCAGGCUACGGCCUGGCUCGAGGAUGGGCCCGCGUCCCAUUAGCUAGUUGGUGAGGUAACGGCCCACCAAGGCGACGAUGGGUAUCCGGCCUGAGAGGGUGUACGGACACAUUGGGACUGAGAUACGGCCCAAACUCCUACGGGAGGCAGCAGCUAAGAAUAUUCCGCAAUGGACGAAAGUCUGACGGAGCGACGCCGCGUGGAUGAAGAAGGCCGAAAGGUUGUAAAAUCCUUUUGCUGAUGAAGAAUAAGUGGUGGAGGGAAUGCCAUCAUGAUGACAUUAGUCGGUGAAUAAGCCCCGGCUAACUACGUGCCAGCCGCCGCCGUAA